AGACCCGAAACCCGGUGAUCUAGCCAUGGGCAGGUUGAAGGUUGGGUAACACUAACUGGAGGACCGAACCGACUAAUGUUGAAAAAUUAGCGGAUGACCUGUGGCUGGGGGUGAAAGGCCAAUCAAACCGGGAGAUAGCUGGUUCUCCCCGAAAGCUAUUUAGGUAGCGCCUCGUGAAUUCAUCUCCGGGGGUAGAGCACUGUUUCGGCCAGGGGGCCAUCCCGGCUUACCAACCCGAUGCAAACUGCGAAUACCGGAGAAUGUUAUCACGGGAGACACACGGCGGGUGCUAACGUCCGUCGUGAAGAGGGAAACAACCCAGACCGCCAGCUAAGGUCCCAAAGUCAUGGUUAAGUGGGAAACGAUGUGGGAAGGCCCAGACAGCCAGGAUGUUGGCUUAGAAGCAGCCAUCAUUUAAAGAAAGCGUAAUAGCUCACUGGUCGAGUCGGCCUGCGCGGAA
This 460-nucleotide ribosomal RNA is filed under the name Salmonella enterica. Its description in RNAcentral is "partial 23S ribosomal RNA". It matches the Rfam family "Bacterial large subunit ribosomal RNA", at positions 711 to 1168 of the family's 2925-position model. Lineage: Bacteria; Pseudomonadati; Pseudomonadota; Gammaproteobacteria; Enterobacterales; Enterobacteriaceae. The record is from RNAcentral.